ACUCCCUCAUAUCUUCAGAGACUCCACAUGAACCCUAACCCGCCGCCACCCUUCUCCACCACUUCGAGCAUGGCGGCGCCAGCCCAAGCCGCCUCAAAAUCACACCACAGAACCAUCCAGACCCCCUCUUCCCAAAUCCCGGGUCAAUUUCACUCGAAUGUUGCCCGAGCUUCUAUCUUGAAUCAGAGCUUGACCCUAAAAAUUCAAAAUUUUCCAAUUCGGGGUUUCCUCAAAGUUUUAGGUUCAUUCUGAUGGUAUUAGUGUGUUUUGAUGAAAAACACACGGUUAGUCUCAGAUUGAGCCGAGAAUCUGAGGGUUCAAAGAUCCAUCACCACCUUUUACGAUCCAAGGCACGUUUAGGUAUUUCCAUUUUUCUUUUGUUAUUUGUUCUUCAAUUUUCCUCCAUUUGUUUUUCUUCUUCUACUUCAGUGUCUUCUUCUGGACUCCUUUCCAUUCUUUUUAGUUUCUGAAGGGUAGUUUUGUGAUGCAUGUUAGUUUUAAGAAAACCUUUUUCUUUAAUUAGUACAAUUAGUUUGUUAAUUAGAUUAGUUCUGAUUUGUUAGUUUUAGUUCAUCAAUUGGAUUUGGGAAUUAUUCGAAUUGCUUCUGUUCUAUUUUUUUUCGCCUUAGAUAAUUUGGUUUUGAUUUUGGCCUGGGGUUCGUACCUUUAGGUUUCAGGCUCGUUGAGUUAGAUUGGGCUUUGAAUUAACCACUCAAUCCCGGGUCAACUUUGACCCACUUUUGGUGGUGGUUUCUAAGGUAAUUAACAGGGAUGUAGAGGGUAGUUUAGGGAUUCUAUGGUAGUUAAUAUUGUUGUAACAGAUUGAGAAGCUUCUAGGAAGCUGGGUUGGGGGCUGUUUUGAAAUUUUGAUAGUCAAAUUAGGGGUAUUUUUAGCUAAAACGAAAAUUGGAAAAGGGGAAAAAUGCAAAGACUGAGGUCUGUUGCUGCCCUACUCCCUUGCCUAUAAAGGCACAUUUCCUUGCCAUUCAAGAAAAUAAGAAAAGAAAAAAAAACAAGAAAAAUACAAAAAAUACAAACGGCUGAAUUUUUUUACUGUUUCAUUGAGUUUCUUCAGUGAUCUUUGAAGUUUUCGAUUACCGAAUCAUUCCUGAUUCAUUCGGGAUUAAAUGGCAUGAAUCUGCGUUCUUAGAGCUUGGUUUUGAGGUUUUGUUGCUGGGAUUACUGUGCUACUAGACUUGGUUUUGAGUUCUGCUACUACUGUUACUGUUUUAUUGACCAAACCAAAUUGGAUCCUUGCCUCGUUUUCUGAUUAUUGGGCUGUUGCUGUUACUGCUUCUUCACCUCUUUUCCUUUCAUUUCCAGGUACAUAUUCUGAAUUCUUCAUGAUGUAAAUUUCAAUUUGAAGAUGGAAAUAAAGACAGUGUUGGAAUCAUGACAGUAGUUCUAUUUGUGCCACAACUGUACUUCUUUCACGAUGUUCAUGCUUUUAGUCAAUUGAUUCGUAAUGUAGUCUAGCUAGUUUCUAUUUGAAUAGCUGAGUUCUCAUGUGGUAUUUAAAUUGUGGACUGUUGUAAUAUUGUAUUAAGGGCUUUAAGUAAGUUAAAAAUGCAGCAAGGUUGCUUCAGUCUUGGUCAAAAAUGAGUAAUCAUUGCUUUGGGUGUUAGUUUCAUGUUUGAAUUGGGAUUAAAGAUGCUAAGGGUAACCAUGAUAUUGUUUGAUGUAUUGUCAAAAGGUAUGUGAG
RNAcentral lists this long non-coding RNA (1702 nucleotides) under Nicotiana tabacum (common tobacco). RNAcentral describes it as "long non-coding RNA (NTAB_LNC002781)". Lineage: Eukaryota; Viridiplantae; Streptophyta; Magnoliopsida; Solanales; Solanaceae. The record is from RNAcentral.